Molecule: ribosomal RNA, 484 nt
Filed under: uncultured bacterium
Lineage: Bacteria
Description: partial 16S ribosomal RNA
Rfam family: Bacterial small subunit ribosomal RNA
Source: RNAcentral
AGUGAACGCUGGCGGCAGGCCUAACACAUGCAAGUCGAGCGGCAGCGCGGGGGCAACCCUGGCGGCGAGCGGCGGACGGGUGAGGAAUUCGUCGGAAUCUGCCUUUUUGUGGGGGAUAACGUAGGGAAACUUACGCUAAUACCGCAUACGUCCUACGGGAGAAAGUGGGGGACCGCAAGGCCUCACGCAGAAAGAUGAGCCGACGACCGAUUAGCUAGUUGGUGGGGUAAAGGCCCACCAAGGCGACGAUCGGUAGCUGGUCUGAGAGGAUGAUCAGCCACACUGGGACUGAGACACGGCCCAGACUCCUACGGGAGGCAGCAGUGGGUAAUAUUGGACAAUGGGCGCAAGCCUGAUCCAGCCAUGCCGCGUGUGUGAAGAAGGCCUUCGGGUUGUAAAGCACUUUUGUCCGGAAAGAAAUCCCUGGAGCUAAUACCUUCGGGGGAUGACGGUACCGGAAGAAUAAGCACCGGCUAACUUCGUG